UGGGGAAUCUUGCGCAAUGGGCGAAAGCCUGACGCAGCGACGCCGCGUGAGGGAAGAAGGCCUUCGGGUUGUAAACCUCUUUCAGCAGGGACGAAGCUACUCGGGUUAAUAGCCCAGAGGGUGACGGUACCUGCAGAAGAAGCCCCGGCUAACUACGUGCCAGCAGCCGCGGUAAUACGUAGGGGGCAAGCGUUGUCCGGAUUUACUGGGCGUAAAGAGCGUGUAGGCGGCCAAGCAGGUCUGUUGUGAAAACUGGAGGCUCAACCUCCAGACGUCGACAGAAACCGCUCGGCUAGAGUCCGGAAGAGGAGAGUGGAAUUCCUGGUGUAGCGGUGAAAUGCGCAGAUAUCAGGAAGAACACCAAUGGCGAAGGCAGCUCUCUGGGACGGUACUGACGCUGAGACGCGAAAGCGUGGGGAGCGAACAGGAUUAGAUACCCUGGUAGUCCACGCCGUAAACGAUGGGUGCUAGGUGUGGGGGGUGUCGACUCCCUCCGUGCCGCAGCUAACGCAUUAAGCACCCCGCCUGGGGAGUACGGCCGCAAGGCUA
RNAcentral lists this ribosomal RNA (549 nucleotides) under uncultured bacterium. Its description in RNAcentral is "bacterial SSU rRNA". It matches the Rfam family "Bacterial small subunit ribosomal RNA", at positions 355 to 896 of the family's 1533-position model. The record is from RNAcentral.